GCCUUUGGAGAUAACAAGGUUGUGAAGUGUCCCACUUCGGGAAGGAAUGCUAACAAUUGAGUUACCGCCUUGUUGCCACUGACCAGAGCAUCAGGUGGUCCAUUACUCAAGAUAACCGUGGCAACCAGAUAUGCUGACCCUCAUCCCCUACCCUCAGGAGAAGGUAUGACAUAGCUCCACCUACAUGCAAGGGGAGCCAGGAAGUGCAAUCCCUGGCUGGGCUGCCACGUCUCAGAAACCAUUAAGCCUAUGGAAGGUCUCUGGAUUUGAUGGCAAAUGGCAGCAGAAAUGUGGAAAAGAUCAAAGUGAUGUCAAGGUUGAUCUCUGAGUUUGGCAUGGCUGAACUCAAACAUCAUUUGCCAUGGACCCACAGUGUCUUCAGUAGCUGAGUGUGGUGUCAUUCCCCUAUGAUAUGUGCACUCAAUUGCUGGCCAGUUUUUGUUUUUUGUUUUUGAGAGAGUCUCGCUUUGUCUCCUAGGCUGGAGUGCAG
This 490-nucleotide long non-coding RNA is filed under the name Homo sapiens (human). Its description in RNAcentral is "HSALNT0302979". The record is from RNAcentral. Lineage: Eukaryota; Metazoa; Chordata; Mammalia; Primates; Hominidae.